RNAcentral lists this ribosomal RNA (694 nucleotides) under uncultured bacterium. RNAcentral describes it as "bacterial SSU rRNA". It matches the Rfam family "Bacterial small subunit ribosomal RNA", at positions 32 to 715 of the family's 1533-position model. The record is from RNAcentral.
AACGCUAGCUACAGGCUUAACACAUGCAAGUCGAGGGGCAGCAUGGUCUUAGCUUGCUAAGGCUGAUGGCGACCGGCGCACGGGUGAGUAACGCGUAUCCAACCUGCCCCAUACUGGGGAAUAGCCUGCCGAAAGGCAGAUUAAUGCCCCAUGCACUCCUUUGACGGCAUCAGACGAGGAGUAAAGGUUUACCGGUAUGGGAUGGGGAUGCGUCCGAUUAGCUUGACGGCGGGUUAACAGCCCACCGUGGCGACGAUCGGUAGGGGUUCUGAGAGGAAGGUCCCCCACAUUGGAACUGAGACACGGUCCAAACUCCUACGGGAGGCAGCAGUGAGGAAUAUUGGUCAAUGGGCGCGAGCCUGAACCAGCCAAGUAGCGUGCAGGAUGACGGCCCUACGGGUUGUAAACUGCUUUUAUGCGGGGAUAAAGUGUGCCAUGUAUGGCAUUUUGCAGGUACCGCAUGAAUAAGGACCGGCUAAUUCCGUGCCAGCAGCCGCGGUAAUACGGAAGGUCCGGGCGUUAUCCGGAUUUAUUGGGUUUAAAGGGAGCGUAGGCCGGUGUUUAAGCGUGUUGUGAAAUGUCGCAGCUCAACUGGGGCAUUGCAGCGCGAACUGGACGUCUUGAGUGCGCGGAAAGCAGGCGGAAUUCGUGGUGUAGCGGUGAAAUGCUUAGAUAUCACGAAGAACUCCGAUUG